Molecule: ribosomal RNA, 255 nt
Filed under: uncultured bacterium
Lineage: Bacteria
Description: partial 16S ribosomal RNA
Rfam family: Bacterial small subunit ribosomal RNA
Source: RNAcentral
GACAGAGGUCCCGAGCGUUAGGCGGAAUCACUGGGCUUAAAAGCGUGUGUAGGCGGACUUCUAAGUACCUUGUGAAAUCCCACGGCUUAACCGUGGAACUGCUUGGUAUACUGGUUGUCUUGGGCCAUCUAGGGGCUACUGGAACAAACGGUGGAGCGGUGAAAUGCGUAGAUAUCGUGAGGAACACCAGAGGCGAAGGCGGCUACCUGGACAUUGCUGACGCUCAGGCACGGAAAGCGUGGGGAGCGAACGGGG